This 45-nucleotide microRNA precursor is filed under the name Mus pahari (shrew mouse). RNAcentral's name for it is "miRNA (MGP_PahariEiJ_G0006690.1)". Lineage: Eukaryota; Metazoa; Chordata; Mammalia; Rodentia; Muridae. The record is from RNAcentral.
UGUUGUCAGCUGUUCUGAGUUGCUUUCAGCAUGCUGAGUGUAGGU